CAGAAGAAAGAGGAACGGUCCAGUCCUCAACUCAUCAACAAGAUCGGGGAGGAGAGAGAGAGAGAGAGAGAGAGAGAGAGAGCAAAGAUGAACGGCGGCGGCAGGAAGUUCGGCGGCGGGCGGCUGCCGACGGGGACCCCGUCGCUGGCCUGGUCAUCGGUGGUCGUGGUCGCCUCCCUCCUCGCGGGGGCCUCCGUCGUCCACAACGUCUACAAGCCUGACAUGACCAUUCCGCCGGUGGAGAGUGACGACGGAGGAGGCGGCGGCAUUGACGGCAAGCAGAGCUGAGCUGGUGACGGAUUUUGUUCCUUCGCAAGAACCAUGUUCUGUGUUGCACUGCCAUCUGCGUGCCCCCAACCCUUUCUGUCAGCGUAUCUCGUUAUGCUUACCAGAGGAGCACAGCACUCUGCUGCUCGUUACCCACUGGAAUCAGACUAACAUUGUAUGAUUUACGCAUCUUAUUCAAAGGGAUUUACUUUUUGCAGGAGA
This is a long non-coding RNA of Triticum aestivum (bread wheat), 489 nucleotides long. RefSeq lists it as uncharacterized. NCBI's taxonomy places the organism in Eukaryota, Viridiplantae, Streptophyta, Magnoliopsida, Poales, Poaceae. The record is from RefSeq and is a predicted model, not a curated record. The transcript is spliced from 2 exons.